This 73-nucleotide transfer RNA is filed under the name Ixodes scapularis (black-legged tick). It matches the Rfam family "tRNA". From Rfam's summary of the family: Transfer RNA (tRNA) molecules are approximately 80 nucleotides in length. Their secondary structure includes four short double-helical elements and three loops (D, anti-codon, and T loops). Further hydrogen bonds mediate the characteristic L-shaped molecular structure. tRNAs have two regions of fundamental functional importance: the anti-codon, which is responsible for specific mRNA codon recognition, and the 3' end, to which the tRNAs corresponding amino acid is attached (by aminoacyl-tRNA synthetases). tRNAs cope with the degeneracy of the genetic code in two manners: having more than one tRNA (with a specific anti-codon) for a particular amino acid; and 'wobble' base-pairing, i.e. permitting non-standard base-pairing at the 3rd anti-codon position. Lineage: Eukaryota; Metazoa; Arthropoda; Arachnida; Ixodida; Ixodidae. The record is from Rfam by way of RNAcentral.
CCCCGGUUAGUUCAGGGGGUCGAGCGUUCCACUGGAAUUGGAAAGGUUCUGGGUUUGAUACCCGGACGAGGGG